GUAACGCGUGAGAAUCUGCCUUCAGGAUGGGGACAACAAUUGGAAACGAUUGCUAAUACCCGAUAUGACGAAAGUUGAAAGAUUUAUCGCCUGGAGAUGAGCUCGCGUCAGAUUAGCUAGAUGGUGUGGUAACGGCGCACCAUGGCGACGAUCUGUAGCUGGUCUGAGAGGAUGAGCAGCCACACUGGGACUGAGACACGGCCCAGACUCCUACGGGAGGCAGCAGUGGGGAAUUUUCCGCAAUGGGCGCAAGCCUGACGGAGCAAUACCGCGUGAGGGAGGAAGGCUCUUGGGUCGUAAACCUCUUUUCUCAGGGAAGAACAAAAUGACGGUACCUGAGGAAUCAGCAUCGGCUAACUCCGUGCCAGCAGCCGCGGUAAUACGGAGGAUGCAAGCGUUAUCCGGAAUGAUUGGGCGUAAAGCGUCCGUAGGUGGUUAUGUAAGUCUGUGGUUAAAGCGUGGGGCUCAACCCCAUAAGGGCCAUGGAAACUACAAGACUUGAGUAAAGUAGGGGUAGAGGGAAUUCCCAGUGUAGCGGUGAAAUGCGUAGAGAUUGGGAAGAACACCGGCGGCGAAAGCGCUCUACUGGACUUAAACUGACACUGAGGGACGAAAGCUAGGGGAGCG
This 627-nucleotide ribosomal RNA is filed under the name uncultured cyanobacterium. RNAcentral describes it as "SSU rRNA". It matches the Rfam family "Bacterial small subunit ribosomal RNA", at positions 110 to 770 of the family's 1533-position model. Lineage: Bacteria; Bacillati; Cyanobacteriota. The record is from RNAcentral.